AAGGCUACACUUUCAGGGAUCAUUUCUGUAGUUCGUAAAGAAAACAUUGAACUCUAAGGCUACACUUUCAGGGAUCGUUUCUGUAGUUC
RNAcentral lists this small nucleolar RNA (89 nucleotides) under Echinops telfairi (small Madagascar hedgehog). RNAcentral describes it as "Small nucleolar RNA U3 (ENSETEG00000025469.1)". Lineage: Eukaryota; Metazoa; Chordata; Mammalia; Afrosoricida; Tenrecidae. The record is from RNAcentral.